Pantherophis guttatus is the source of this 386-nucleotide long non-coding RNA. RefSeq lists it as uncharacterized. The record is from RefSeq and is a predicted model, not a curated record. NCBI's taxonomy places the organism in Eukaryota, Metazoa, Chordata, Lepidosauria, Squamata, Colubridae.
GGCUGGAAAAUGCCUGCUGAAAGUCCUUCCUAUGACAAGAUAUAAAAAGAAGGAUGUUGGAUCAGCCAAUCAGGAUGCAGAUAUGCCUCUCCAUACAAUAUAUAAUUGAGAUUUGGAUGGUGUGUACAUCGGACCAUCUGCAAUCAUCUGCAAACUAUACUCAUCCCCCUCCAGCAUAGCUUGGAAACCUUGGAGUUGCUGCUGGGGAUGAUGAGUGUAUUGACUGAAGACAUCUAGAUGCCAACAGAUUGGGAAAGACUGUUUUUAAGAGCUGCUAAGAAUAACUGAAAUUAUCAGAACACUAUAAAUAACUAUUUCCAAACAUUUACGUAUCUUUUUGAAUUGGGAUAACAUACAAUAUAACCUAUUGUGCAAAGUUUCAUAUC